UUAUAGCAUGUACUGUAGCUGGGGUUUUGGUUUUGCUGAGAUCCAUCCUCUAUCGAGAAGUCUGAACCGACUUUAAAAAUAGGUUUUUGAAUUCCUAUUUAAAAACCGACUUAUAAAGCAUUGCAACAAGGUAAAUCUAUCGCUGAGCACCCCAAAUCAACGUUUGGAUGAAACGCAGACGAUCUGGCGUCUGAAUUUCAAUUUUAAGACAAGUCAAAUAGCUCAACAGUAAGUACUUGAUUUUAUGUCUAUAUUUGUAAAUUUCAGUUUGGGUCACUUAA
This 281-nucleotide long non-coding RNA is filed under the name Chrysemys picta bellii (western painted turtle). RNAcentral describes it as "lncRNA (ENSCPBG00000007558.1)". Lineage: Eukaryota; Metazoa; Chordata; Testudines; Emydidae. The record is from RNAcentral.